Molecule: transfer RNA, 73 nt
Filed under: Pneumocystis sp. 'macacae'
Lineage: Eukaryota; Fungi; Ascomycota; Pneumocystomycetes; Pneumocystales; Pneumocystaceae
Description: tRNA-Thr
Rfam family: tRNA
About the family: Transfer RNA (tRNA) molecules are approximately 80 nucleotides in length. Their secondary structure includes four short double-helical elements and three loops (D, anti-codon, and T loops).
Source: RNAcentral
GUUAGAUUAACUCAAUUGGUAGAGUGUGUAUUUUGUAAGUACAAAGUUGAGAGUUCGAAUCCCUUAUCUAGCA